AGGUUUAUAAUUCAAUUGGUUAGAAUGUGCUGCUCAUAACUGUGAAGUUAUAGGUUCGAGUCCUAUUAAACCUA
Molecule: transfer RNA, 74 nt
Organism: Blastocystis hominis
Lineage: Eukaryota; Bigyra; Opalinata; Blastocystidae
Rfam family: tRNA
About the family: Transfer RNA (tRNA) molecules are approximately 80 nucleotides in length. Their secondary structure includes four short double-helical elements and three loops (D, anti-codon, and T loops).
Source: Rfam